This 525-nucleotide ribosomal RNA is filed under the name uncultured bacterium. Its description in RNAcentral is "bacterial SSU rRNA". It matches the Rfam family "Bacterial small subunit ribosomal RNA", at positions 984 to 1509 of the family's 1533-position model. The record is from RNAcentral.
ACAUCCAGAGAACUUUCCAGAGAUGGAUUGGUGCCUUCGGGAACUCUGAGACAGGUGCUGCAUGGCUGUCGUCAGCUCGUGUUGUGAAAUGUUGGGUUAAGUCCCGCAACGAGCGCAACCCUUAUCCUUUGUUGCCAGCGGUUAGGCCGGGAACUCAAAGGAGACUGCCAGUGAUAAACUGGAGGAAGGUGGGGAUGACGUCAAGUCAUCAUGGCCCUUACGAGUAGGGCUACACACGUGCUACAAUGGCGCGUACAAAGAGAAGCGACCUCGCGAGAGCAAGCGGACCUCAUAAAGUGCGUCGUAGUCCGGAUUGGAGUCUGCAACUCGACUCCAUGAAGUCGGAAUCGCUAGUAAUCGUGGAUCAGAAUGCCACGGUGAAUACGUUCCCGGGCCUUGUACACACCGCCCGUCACACCAUGGGAGUGGGUUGCAAAAGAAGUAGGUAGCUUAACCUUCGGGAGGGCGCUUACCACUUUGUGAUUCAUGACUGGGGUGAAGUCGUAACAAGGUAGGCGUAGUGCU